AGCUCCUGUAUUUGUGAGUAUUGGUCAAGUUAGAUUUUAAGACCAAUGAUAAUAGUGUUAUUAGCUAAAUCAUCCCAACGGUUAUAAGCGGAGCAUUACAUGUCGUUCUUGAUGUUUCGAAUGAGAACCUUGGUAAGGCUUUCCUUUGAGUUGAAGUUUAUUUCAUUGCAUUGAGAUUCAACAUAUUUGGAAACAAGAAUAACUGGGAGAGGAUUUGGUGGGUCAACCUUCUUAAUUGAUUCCGUAUCAAUAGGUAAUGGAGUCUCACCCUUGAGUUUUCUUUGUUCAUUUUCAAUUCUUCUCCUUUCUGCCAUCUGUUUGAUAAGGUAUUGCUGUUUGUUAUAGUCCCUAUAUCCUUUGUAAAGUUUCUCUUGUUCUAAUGACAAAACAUCGAUAGAUUCUGCGAGAUUUAAUAGCGCCUUGUCAUUGAUAUCAAGGGGUGUUUUUGUGUUGAUAGAUAAUUCAGAAUAGUCAAUAGUGGAUUGGAGUACAUCUGAAGUUAUCCAAUCAAGUAGGAAAGCUUCAGAAAGAACUGGGUAUUUAAUAUAAAUUGGGACUUCAACAAGAAUAUCCUCAAAGCUGGCAUUCUUAAAAAUGUGAAAGUUAUCUUCGUCAUCUUUGAGUUUGCUUGCAUAUUCAGAGUUCAAGGUAAAAGCUUUAAAAGCAUUUUUCUUACCCUGAAUAAGUAAGUCAGGAUCAAUGCUUAAAAGGAUAGCAUUUUUACUCUCAAUGUUAUUAUAGUAAGAUAAUAAUGUAGAAACAACUCCAUAAUCUUGGAAAUCAUCAAGACGUAUAAGCUGGUACCAUCCAAGCACAAAACAAUCGGAACGUAUUUCAUGCAUAAGCUCAACCAUUGCAGCCUGAUAUUUGUCAACUUCUUCAACAAGACGCUCCUCUAAAUCCAGUUUUUCUGAUUUAUCCAACUUUCCUCCACUAUAGUUAGACAUGAGAGACGGAAGCAAAUCUUCUCUUGUUGGAAGCUGGAAGGAUGUUGUAAUUUCUAGCUUAUUGCCGUAUUCCAUACCUAGCAAUUGACCUGUAGCAUUCAUUUGUGAGUAGUUCUCUGUACAAUGCUUAAUAAUUCUUAAAAUGGCAGAAAUAUCAGCCUCUACUGAAGAAACUGUAGUUUUUGUUGAUAAAUGUUUAUAGUGAGAUGAUCCUCCUGAAUUUCCUAUUGUAUUUCCACUUGAAAAACUAUAGUGCUGAUGAUGUCCAGUACCUGAUGACAAAGAACCCUGUGAAAUCUGCUGUCCUCCUGACUGAGAUUGAAAGUAUCCAGAUCCUUUUCCUCCUGAAAUACCUGAAGAACCAGAAAGUUGCUGGACCUCCUCUUUUGAAUCUUUAUCUUCAGUCUGUCUGCUAAUUCCCCAACCUACAUGUUUCGUUGUUUGAGUGGCUCCUUCCAUUGGAUUAGAACUCAACCCUAUUAGGCCGUCUUUCCCGAUCAUCUUGGCAAAUUCUUGCUUCUGGAGCCGUAGUUCUAAUUAUUUAUAUCCUUUAUUUUAUACAAAUAUCAAGGUUUUAAAAGUUAAAACCUUUUUGUCAAUUUAAUAUUUCUUUCCACUUUUUUCAGUCAUAUAGUCAAUUAAAGCAAUAUUAGCCUUUUGGCGCCAUGGCGCCACAUUUCGAGACGAGUAUUUUUAUAUACCGGCUAAUUUACAUGAUCAUUUGGAAUUAGGGGGAAAUGGCGAGUAAAGAAAAUUGUAAAAAAAGCUAUAAUUAAGUAAAACUAAAUAGAAAGCUUGAAACUGUCAUAUUAAUGACUUAAAGGUAUAUAAGACUAGGUAUUAAAUAGAAUUGACUGUAGGCAUGCGGGAAGAUCAACUUCAAUAUUGCCGUACAAAUAUUCGUUAAAAAAGCAUCCGUUGGAGAUCUGUUUAUUUAGACUUAGGUUUUUAUAAAGCUGAUUUUUUGUAGAGAUCCUCUUCAGUGUGAGAUGAGAUGAAUCUAUCUGAUUGAGAAAGUAGAGUGAAAUUUGAUUUAGCGUGACAAAGUCUUUAUUGCAUGAUUGUUUUGUCAUUUGAAUUAGGUUAAAAAUUUCGGACUUAAGAGCCCACC
RNAcentral lists this non-coding RNA (2058 nucleotides) under Cryptosporidium parvum. The record is from RNAcentral. Lineage: Eukaryota; Apicomplexa; Conoidasida; Eucoccidiorida; Cryptosporidiidae.